This 157-nucleotide unclassified non-coding RNA is filed under the name uncultured Helotiales. RNAcentral's name for it is "sequence contains ITS1". Lineage: Eukaryota; Fungi; Ascomycota; Leotiomycetes; Helotiales. The record is from RNAcentral.
CAGAGUUCAUGCCCUUACGGGUAGAUCUCCCACCCUUGAAUAUUAUACCUUUGUUGCUUUGGCGGGCCGCCUCGGCUACCGGCUCCAGCUGGUAAGUGCCCGCCAGAGAACCUAAACUCUUGAAUUAUAGUGUCGUCUGAGUACUAUAUAAUAGUUA